RNAcentral lists this ribosomal RNA (481 nucleotides) under Aspidura drummondhayi. RNAcentral describes it as "partial 16S ribosomal RNA". It matches the Rfam family "Bacterial large subunit ribosomal RNA", at positions 1856 to 2604 of the family's 2925-position model. Lineage: Eukaryota; Metazoa; Chordata; Lepidosauria; Squamata; Natricidae. The record is from RNAcentral.
CGCCUGCCCAGUGAACAAUUCAACGGCCGCGGUACCCUAACCGUGCAAAGGUAGCAUAAUCAUUUGUCUAUUAACUGUAGACCUGUAUGAAAGGCAAAAUGAGGGUUUAACUGUCUCUUAUAAUAAAUCUAUUAAACUGAUCUCUCAGUAAAAAAGCUGAGAUAUCCACAUAAGACCAGAAGACCCUGUGAAGCUUGAACUAAACUAUUAAACCCAAUAAUAACUACUUUCGGUUGGGGCGACCUUGGAAAAAAGAAAAACUUCCAAACACACACUUCACCAUAACCAACAGGCUAACAAGCCAAUAAAUGACCCAGCAAAGCUGACAAUUGAACAAAGUUACUCCAGGGAUAACAGCGCCAUCUUCUUCAAGAGCCCAUAUCAAAAAGAAGGUUUACGACCUCGAUGUUGGAUCAGGACAUCCUAACGGUGCAACCGCUGUUAAGGGUUCGUUUGUUCAACGAUUAAUGUCCUACGUGAU